CCUGGUAGUCCACGCCCUAAACGAUGUCAACUAGCUGUUGGGGCCUUCGGGCCUUGGUAGCGCAGCUAACGCGUGAAGUUGACCGCCUGGGGAGUACGGUCGCAAGAUUAAAACUCAAAGGAAUUGACGGGGACCCGCACAAGCGGUGGAUGAUGUGGAUUAAUUCGAUGCAACGCGAAAAACCUUACCUACCCUUGACAUGUCUGGAAUGCCGAAGAGAUUUGGCAGUGCUCGCAAGAGAACCGGAACACAGGUGCUGCAUGGCUGUCGUCAGCUCGUGUCGUGAGAUGUUGGGUUAAGUCCCGCAACGAGCGCAACCCUUGUCAUUAGUUGCUACGA
RNAcentral lists this ribosomal RNA (339 nucleotides) under uncultured bacterium. RNAcentral's name for it is "bacterial SSU rRNA". It matches the Rfam family "Bacterial small subunit ribosomal RNA", at positions 786 to 1123 of the family's 1533-position model. The record is from RNAcentral.